Molecule: ribosomal RNA, 1969 nt
Filed under: gut metagenome
Description: bacterial LSU rRNA
Rfam family: Bacterial large subunit ribosomal RNA
Source: RNAcentral
ACCUACGAGUUGCCUUUGCCGGCAAGGUUAAGUGUGACGACACACGUAUCCGAAGCGAAAGCGAGUCUGAAGAGGGCGUAUAGUCGGCAGUGGCAGACGCGAAACCAAGUGAUCUACCCUUGGCCAGGUUGAAGGCUGGGUAACACCAGCUGGAGGACCGCACCAAUAAGCGUUGAAAAGCUUCUGGAUGAGCUGAGGGUAGGGGUGAAAGGCUAAUCAAACUUGGAGAUAGCUCGUACUCCCCGAAAUGCAUUUAGGUGCAGCCUUGCGGGUUACUGAUGUGAGGUAGAGCGACUGAUAAGAUGCGAGGGCUUCACCGCCUAUCAAGUCUUGACAAACUCCGAAUGCGCAUCAGUUCUACCGCAGGAGUGAGGGCAUGGGUGCUAAGGUCCGUGCCCGAGAGGAGAAGAAUCCGGACCACCUGCUAAGGUCCCGAAAUGACAGCUAAGUUAAACUAACGAAGUCUGACUGCUAAGACAGCUAGGAUGUUGGCUUGGAAGCAGCCAUUCAUUUAAAGAGUGCGUAACAGCUCACUAGUCGAGGAGUCGGGCGUGGAUAAUAAUCGGGUAUCAAGUUGUCUACCGAAGCAGUGGGAUCAUUGAUAUGAUCGGUAGGGGAGCAUUCCAGUCAGCGUCGAAGGCGUACCGUGAGGUAUUCUGGAGCGUCUGGAAAAGCAAAUGUAGGUAUAAGUAACGAUAAAGGGGGCGGGAAACCCCCUCGCCGAAAGACUAAGGUUUCCUGAUCAACGCUAAUCGGAUCAGGGUCAGUCGGGUCCUAAGGCUCAGCCGAACGGCGAUGCCGAUGGCAGAAACGGUUAAUAUUCCGUUACUACCUUCAGGAGUGACGUGGAGACGCAGUAGUGACAGUGCCGCCAUCUGACGGAAUAGAUGGUUGAAGGGUGUAGGAGUCGAUCAUGGCAGGCAAAUCCACCAUGAGAUCCGAACCUGACAGUAUGCCGCGUCCUUCGGGACAAGGCAAUAGUGCGCGUAAGCAUGCUGCCGAGAAAAUCCGCUAAACUUAAUCCUGCAGGUACCCGUACCGCAAACGGACACACGUAGUCGGGAUGAAUAUUCUAAGGCGCUUGAGUGAUUCACGGUUAAGGAACUAGGCAAACUGACCCUGUAACUUCGGGAUAAAGGGUCCCUACCCUUUUAUGGGAGGGCGCAGAGAAUCGGUCCAGGCAACUGUUUAACAAAAACACAGGGCUGUGCCAAAUCGAAAGAUCCAGUAUACAGCCUGACACCUGCCCGGUGCUGGAAGGUUAAGAGGAGAUGUCAUCGAUAAGAGAAGCGUUGAAUUGAAGCCCCAGUAAACGGCGGCCGUAACUAUAACGGUCCUAAGGUAGCGAAAUUCCUUGUCGGGUAAGUUCCGACCUGCACGAAUGGUGUAAUGAUCUGGACGCUGUCUCAACCGUGAGCUCAGUGAAAUUGUAGUAUCGGUGAAGAUGCCGAUUACCCGCGAUGGGACGAAAAGACCCCGUGAACCUUUACUAUAGCUUAUCAUUGAAUCUGGGCACGUGAUGUGUAGGAUAGGUCGGAGGCUUUGAAGCAGGUACGCCAGUAUUUGUGGAGCCGCUGUUGAAAUACGACCCUUUAUUUGUUUGGAUUCUAACCCGUGGAACGGGGACAUUGAUUGGUGGGUAGUUUGACUGGGGUGGUCGCCUCCAAAAGCGUAACGGAGGCUUCUAAAGGUGCCCUCCGGCCGAUUGGUAACCGGCCUUAGAGUGUAAUGGCAUAAGGGCGCUUGACUGGGAGACUGACAAGUCGAUCAGGUAGGAAACUAGAGCAUAGUGAUCCGGUGUUUCCGUAUGGAAGGGACAUCGCUCAAAGGAUAAAAGGUACUCCGGGGAUAACAGGCUGAUCCCUCCCAAGAGCUCAUAUCGACGGAGUGGUUUGGCACCUCGAUGUCGGCUCGUCACAUCCUGGGGCUGGAGAAGGUCCCAAGGGUUGGGCUGUUCGCCCAUUAAAGU